GAUCAUGGCUCAGGAUGAACGCCAGCUACAGGCUUAACACAUGCAAGUCGCGGGGCAGCAUGUGUGUGCUUGCACACAAUGAUGGCGACCGGCGCACGGGUGAGUAACGCGUAUCCAACCUUCCCCUUAGUAGGGCAUAGCCCGGCGAAAGUCGGAUUAAUACCCUAUGUUCUUCGUAGAUGGCAUCUGAGACGAAGCAAAGGUUAGCGCUAAGGGAUGGGGAUGCGUCUGAUUAGGCAGUCGGCGGGUAACGGCCCACCGAGCCAUCGAUCAGUAGGGGUUCUGAGAGGAAGGUCCCCCACAUUGGAACUGAGACACGGUCCAAACUCCUACGGGAGGCAGCAGUGAGGAAUAUUGGUCAAUGGGCGAGAGCCUGAACCAGCCAAGUUAAGCGUGCAGGACGACGGCCCUACGGGUUGUAAACUGCUUUUAUGCGGGGAUAAAGUGCCCUACGUGUAGGGUAUUGCAGGUACCGCAUGAAUAAGGACCGGCUAAUUCCGUGCCAGCCGCGGC
This 513-nucleotide ribosomal RNA is filed under the name uncultured bacterium. RNAcentral's name for it is "bacterial SSU rRNA". It matches the Rfam family "Bacterial small subunit ribosomal RNA", at positions 15 to 518 of the family's 1533-position model. The record is from RNAcentral.